UGUAAAUACAGAUACGUGUUCUUUAAAAACAACACUACCAAAUGGAACAGUAAAGUGCGGAUGCUUAGAAAGAAACACGGUAUUGUGCACCAUUUACGGCAGCACAUAUGUUAAUGACGGUGACCAGUGGAAAUGUGAUGCGUUCAAACACACUUUACUUGUAAGCAGCAAUAUUGUCAUCGUUUCGCUUGAAAACACCAGUCCCAAGCCUUCCACAGUAGACCAAAUCUCGGCAGUAGUAACUACGUCUGAAACGAACGAAGAAUUUAGCGUGGGAAAUGAAACACUGAUAACAACUUAUUCAUUUGAAGAAACGGCAGUUUCAGUAAAUGCGACUAUCCCGAAUGAUGACCUGUUAAAGAACUCAACUUCA
Molecule: long non-coding RNA, 373 nt
Organism: Dreissena polymorpha
Lineage: Eukaryota; Metazoa; Mollusca; Bivalvia; Myida; Dreissenidae
Exons: 3
Source: RefSeq, a predicted model, not a curated record